UGGGGAAUUUUGGACAAUUGGGCGAAAGCCUGAUCCAGCAAUGCCGCGUGUGUGAAGAAGGCCUUCGGGUUGUAAAGCACUUUUGUCCGGAAAGAAAUCCUUGGCUCUAAUACAGUCGGGGGAUGACGGUACCGGAAGAAUAAGCACCGGCUAACUACGUGCCAGCAGCCGCGGUAAUACGUAGGGUGCAAGCGUUAAUCGGAAUUACUGGGCGUAAAGCGUGCGCAGGCGGUUUGCUAAGACCGAUGUGAAAUCCCCGGGCUCAACCUGGGAACUGCAUUGGUGACUGGCAGGCUAGAGUAUGGCAGAGGGGGGUAGAAUUCCACGUGUAGCAGUGAAUGCGUAGAGAUGUGGAGGAAUACCGAUGGCGAAGGCAGCCCCCUGGCAAGUACUGACGCUCAUGCACGAAAGCGUGGGGAGCAAACGGAUUAAUCCCUGGUAGUCCACG
RNAcentral lists this ribosomal RNA (448 nucleotides) under uncultured bacterium. Its description in RNAcentral is "partial 16S ribosomal RNA". It matches the Rfam family "Bacterial small subunit ribosomal RNA", at positions 355 to 799 of the family's 1533-position model. The record is from RNAcentral.